This 76-nucleotide microRNA precursor is filed under the name Cordylochernes scorpioides. Lineage: Eukaryota; Metazoa; Arthropoda; Arachnida; Pseudoscorpiones; Chernetidae. The record is from RNAcentral.
GUGUCUGACGAGGUCGACACUGCCUCGAGGAACAUGAUGUUGCUCCCCGAGACUGUGUCGUACUCGUCGGACACGA